Molecule: ribosomal RNA, 575 nt
Filed under: Nitzschia sp. CCMP2177
Lineage: Eukaryota; Bacillariophyta; Bacillariophyceae; Bacillariales; Bacillariaceae
Also listed under: 1 other name
Description: eukaryotic LSU rRNA
Rfam family: Eukaryotic large subunit ribosomal RNA
Source: RNAcentral
AUGCAAAGAACUUUGAAAAGAGAGUUAAAGAGUACCUGAAAUUGCUGAAAGGGAAGCGAAGGAAACCAGUGUUUGCUUGGUCAUAUUUCCCUGACCGCUUGCGGUUUGGGCGCUGUGUCCGGCUUGUGUUGCGCUUGGUUGGAAUUUUCGGAAGAGCGCUGUUAGAGUUGAUUUCAGUUGCUAGCGUUAAUUCUGACUGAGCGGGACGAAAUGGUUUUCUUUACCCCGUCUUGAAACACGGACCAAGGAGUCUAACAUAUGUGCGAGUACAGGGGUGUCAAACUCCCGUGCGCAAUGAAAGUGACAGUGGUUGGAUAUUUGCACAAUCCGCCGGCCUCAAUCCCUCGGGAGAACGGUCUGAGUGUGAGCAUACAUGUUGCGACCCGAAAGAUGUGUGAACUAUGCCUGAAUAGGGUGAAGCCAGGGGAAACUCUGGUGGAGGCUCGUAGCGAUUCUGACGUGCAAAUCGAUCGUCAAAUUUGGGUAUAGGGGCGAAAGACUAAUCGAACCAUCUAGUAGCUGGUUCCCUCCGAAAUUUCCCUCAGGAUAGCUGCGAUCGGAGUUCAAUUUUAUCA